Molecule: ribosomal RNA, 733 nt
Filed under: uncultured eukaryote
Lineage: Eukaryota
Description: SSU rRNA
Rfam family: Eukaryotic small subunit ribosomal RNA
Source: RNAcentral
GGUACGCACUACUGUCGGCCGGCUCGCGUGCCGGUUUUCCCGUCGUGGCCUUCGCCGGUCGCGGCGGGUGGCUGGCGAGUUUACUUUGAGAAAAUCAGAGUGCUCAACACAGGCGUCUAGCUUGAAUGAUUGUGCAUGGAAUAAUGGAAAAGGAUCACGGUCCUCUUUUAUUGGUUUUGUGGACUGAGAUAAUGGUUAACAGGGACAAACGGGGGCAUUCGUAUCGCUGCGUGAGAGGUGAAAUUCUUGGACCGUAGCGAGACGCCCGACUGCGAAAGCAUUUGCCAAGAAUGUCUUCAUUAAUCAAGAACGAAAGUCAGAGGUUCGAAGGCGAUCAGAUACCGCCCUAGUUCUGACCGUAAACGAUGCCAACUAGCGAUUCGCCGGUGGAUUUCACGCCCUGGUGAGUAGCUUCCCGGAAACGAAAGUCUUCCGGUUCCGGGGGGAAGUAUGGUUGCAAAGCUGAAACUUAAAGGAAUUGACGGAAGGGCACCACCAGGAGUGGAGCCUGCGGCUUAAUUUGACUCAACACGGGGAAACUCACCCGGCCCGGACACCGUGAGGAUUGACAGAUUGAGAGCUCUUUCAUGAUUCGGUGGUUGGUGGUGCAUGGCCGUUCUUAGUUCGUGGAUCGAUUUGUCUGGUUUAUUCCGAUAACGAGCGAGACUCUAGCCUACUAAAUAGCCGCGAUAUUACUUUAACUGUGUCGCGCGCUUCUUAGAGGGAUUCGCGG